RNAcentral lists this ribosomal RNA (465 nucleotides) under uncultured bacterium. RNAcentral describes it as "partial 16S ribosomal RNA". It matches the Rfam family "Bacterial small subunit ribosomal RNA", at positions 338 to 795 of the family's 1533-position model. The record is from RNAcentral.
CCUACGGGUGGCAGCAGUGGGGAAUAUUGCGCAAUGGGCGAAAGCCUGACGCAGCGACGCCGCGUGAGGGAUGAAGGUCUUCGGAUCGUAAACCUCUGUCAGCAGGGAAGAACGGUCACUGUGCUAAUCAGCAGUGAAUUGACGGUACCUGCUAAGGAAGCACCGGCUAACUCCGUGCCAGCAGCCGCGGUAAUACGGAGGGUGCGAGCGUUAAUCGGAAUUACUGGGCGUAAAGCGCUCGUAGGCGGUAUGUCAAGUCAAGGGUGAAAUCCCCGCGCUCAACGUGGGAACUGCCUUUGAAACUGACAAACUGGAGUGUGUGAGAGGUUAGUGGAAUUCCAGGUGUAGGAGUGAAAUGCGUAGAUAUCUGGAGGAACAUCAGUGGCGAAGGCGACUAACUGGCACAUAACUGACGCUGAGGAGCGAAAGCGUGGGUAGCAAACAGGAUUAGAUACCCGGGUAGUC